RNAcentral lists this ribosomal RNA (253 nucleotides) under uncultured bacterium. RNAcentral describes it as "partial 16S ribosomal RNA". It matches the Rfam family "Bacterial small subunit ribosomal RNA", at positions 524 to 776 of the family's 1533-position model. The record is from RNAcentral.
UACGUAGGGGGCAAGCGUUGUCCGGAUUUAUUGGGCGUAAAGAGCGUGUAGGCGGCCAUAUAUGUCCGUUGUGAAAACUGGAGGCUUAACCUCCAGACGUCGAUGGAAACCGUAUGGCUAGAGUCCGGAAGAGGAGAGUGGAAUUCCUGGUGUAGCGGUGAAAUGCGCAGAUAUCAGGAAGAACACCCGUGGCGAAGGCGGCUCUCUGGGACGGUACUGACGCUGAGACGCGAAAGCGUGGGGAGCGAACAGG